UGACAAAACCUAGUUCGAUCAACAAACCUACGCCUGUUAGGUCAGCUGCUUCCGUAGAUAACGCCUAUUUUACCAGAUGCUACCGAAAUAAAGCAAGAGGAUGUACCUCGAAUCCAACCUCAACCAUCACCACCAAUAGACAUGCUCAAUUUAAACCAGCCCCAACCCCAGCUGCCGGUGCAAGAUCCACAAGCCACAACGAGUGUCGCUAGUUUCGAUUUGCUUGGAGCAUUCGGGGAUGAUAAUUCAUCUGGCAUUGGCUCGGCUCCAAUACCUGAUAUUUUAGAAAUUAAUGUACAACCAAGUUCAAAUGUCAACCUUGAUGAUAUCUUCGGCUCAGUUGCUUCAUCGGCGCCGAAAAUCAACCUGGAGUUUAAUAGUUUUUCUGUAAACCAGCCGACACCAACUAGUGCAAACCAACCUGGUGUAUUGGUGUGUGUCACGUCAGUCUCAGCAAAAUAGUCUUGCAUCAACAACCAGAGCUCAGUACGUCAUAGUUAUUUUUCUUCUCUGUUUUUGGAAGCUAGUGCAAUGAGUAUAUUAUAUACAUAUAUUUGCAGUAUAUUAUAUUUUCAUUGAUCCGCUUAGUUAAGUUUAACUAUAACGUAGCAAAAUGAUGUGUAAAACCAAGUAAUUGCUUUUAAAUCUAAGUAAAAAAAUAUACAUUUUAAAUGACAAUUAUUAAAAAGAUACAUGCAUACAUAUAUACGUUAAGAACAUAAAUAUAUAUAGGAUAUAAAAUUAAUCUCUUUGUCAACUUAAUUGCGGCCCUGAAAAGGGCCUCUUGUUGAUUGGUAUAUAUGUAUUUAUCUAAGCAUAAAAUUUUAAUCUCUUUGUUAAUUAAUUGGCGGCCCUGAAAAGGGCCUUUGUAUAAAUCAUAUUACUUGCCUGCAAAUAAAUAAGUUUAUAUUUGUAUAAAAGACGCUUGAUGAUAUUUUAAAACUAGGGACUUACGUAGCAUGCAAGUAUUUUAAUUUUAGGAGUCUGAAAUACUGAGAUCAGUGCGUGUGAAAUGCGGACAUUGAUUCAUGCUGCAAGUAAAGAACGGUUAAUUUCUACAAAUUUAAAAACGCUUUAGUUCAAAACAUACCACAUGUUUGGUAUUUUAUGCAAUACUUACGGUUCUAUAAUGGUACCAUAUGGAUCGAUCUAGGUCAGAGUUUUUUUGGCUUUUCUUUUUCUUUUGUGGGCAUUUUCAACGAGUUCUUUAUUUAAUUUUCGUAUUUUGAAGAACAUUCUUGCCCUGAAAAAUAAUUUUUUUACUUUAAUGUCGCAUUGAAUUGUUGCAGCAUGCUCAAUGUGAGUUUUUACAAAAUCAUUUGUAAUGAGCAAGCCAUCUUCGUUCAAUGCCUUAAAGACUGACUCAAGACUUCGCAUAUGGACCAUCAUAGAGGAGCUUGGUAGGGAUAACCCACCCUCAUUAAGGUGAUCCGCCCAGGAGAAUGAAUGGUCGUCAUUGCUCCUGAACGACGUGCUGGGAAUGUCAUCCUGCAGCUUGUGGCAAAUAUAUCCCGCUAAAUGCUCGAGUCCGUCUAGCUCCAAAUCCUCGAAUUCCGCUUCUUCAACCGGCCACAGUUCUGCAUUAGAGCUUAAGUUUUUCAGCAAAAUACCUGUAAAUAUGGUGAAAUAUAUAUGUGCGAUUAUUAAUAAAAUAUAUUUUUAUAUUUAAGCCGAA
Rhagoletis pomonella (apple maggot) is the source of this 1675-nucleotide long non-coding RNA. RefSeq lists it as uncharacterized. The record is from RefSeq and is a predicted model, not a curated record. The transcript is spliced from 3 exons. NCBI's taxonomy places the organism in Eukaryota, Metazoa, Arthropoda, Insecta, Diptera, Tephritidae.